GAUGAAGAACGCAGCGAAAUGCGAUAAGUAAUGUGAAUUGCAGAAUUCAGUGAAUCAUCGAAUCUUUGAACGCGCAUUGCGCCCGCCAGUAUUCUGGCGGGCAUGCCUGUUCGAGCGUCAUUUCAACCCUCAAGCCCCCGGGCUUGGUGUUGGGGAUCGGCGUGCCCUCGCGGCGCGCCGUCCCCUAAAUCUAGUGGCGGUCUCGCUGUAGCUUCCUCUGCGUAGUAGCAACACUCGCACUGGAUCGCAGCGCGGCCACGCCGUUAAACCCCCCACUUCUGAAAGUUUGACCUCGGAUCAGGUAGGAAUACCCGCUGAACUUAAGCAUAUCAAUAAGCGGAGGA
RNAcentral lists this unclassified non-coding RNA (344 nucleotides) under soil metagenome. RNAcentral describes it as "partial contains 5.8S ribosomal RNA, internal transcribed spacer 2, and large subunit ribosomal RNA". The stretch from base 1 to 120 matches the Rfam family "5.8S ribosomal RNA", at positions 35 to 154 of the family's 154-position model. The record is from RNAcentral.